CAUGAUCCUAUGCACAAAAUACCUGACGCCCAUUUAGAUCGACUCAGAGCUUGGAUCACAGACAAGCGUACGAAAGAUGAGGUGCGUGAAACUUUUCACGGGAAAAAAAUCGAAGGAGUUUUUCAGAGACUUGUUCAUGUGUCGUCGGUGGUUGGCGGAUGAGCAUUUGGAUGCACUGUUUCUUCUCAUUCGCUUCAACAUUAAGACAGCCAUGAUACCUACUGCUCAAAACUUCACAACUGUAGACACACUAUUCAUGCGACUAUUAGUUGCGAAGUGGCCUG
Cucumis sativus (cucumber) is the source of this 284-nucleotide long non-coding RNA. RefSeq lists it as uncharacterized. Lineage: Eukaryota; Viridiplantae; Streptophyta; Magnoliopsida; Cucurbitales; Cucurbitaceae. The record is from RefSeq and is a predicted model, not a curated record. The transcript is spliced from 3 exons.